Molecule: long non-coding RNA, 316 nt
Filed under: Coffea arabica (coffee)
Lineage: Eukaryota; Viridiplantae; Streptophyta; Magnoliopsida; Gentianales; Rubiaceae
Description: long non-coding RNA (CARA_LNC002397)
Source: RNAcentral
CUCACUCGAGCCGUUACUUUCUUCCUUCACCAUUCCUCUCUAACAACCUCUCCGCCCUCUGAAACUCUCAUCAAUCAAGAAGCAUUGCUGAAAAUAAUAGAGCUGCUUGAGCAAGCUGAAUUAGAAGAUUGGCUUCAUGGUUUUUCUUUUUCCUUUUUCUUGGUUCAAUAAAAGCAAAUUCAAAGGUGAGCAUGCCAAUAUUUUCUUGUUCUUGCAGGUCAAUUUCGAUUACGUUGUUUACAAAUCCUCCUUGAUGGGCAUCAAGUGGAAAAUUCUUGCCUUCAGUUUCUCGUAAUCUGUUUCCUUACCCCACUCU